Molecule: transfer RNA, 85 nt
Filed under: Zoogloea sp.
Lineage: Bacteria; Pseudomonadati; Pseudomonadota; Betaproteobacteria; Rhodocyclales; Zoogloeaceae
Also listed under: 1 other name
Description: tRNA-Leu
Rfam family: tRNA
About the family: Transfer RNA (tRNA) molecules are approximately 80 nucleotides in length.
Source: RNAcentral
GCCCGGAUGGUGAAAUUGGUAGACACAUCGGACUUAAAAUCCGAAGCCGCAAGGCGUACGGGUUCGACCCCCGUUCCGGGUACCA